AAUGAACGCUGGCGGCGCGCCUAAUACAUGCAAGUCGAGCGAGAAGACGUAGCAAUACGUUUGUAAAGCGGCGAACGGGUGAGGAAUACAUGGGUAACCUACCCUAGAGUGGGGAAUAACUAGCCGAAAGGUUAGCUAAUACCGCGUACGCUCCUUGGACUUCGGUUCAGGGAGGAAAGCGAUGCCGAGGGUAUCGCGCUCUUGGAUGGGCUCAUGUCCUAUCAGCUUGUUGGGAGGUAACGGCUCACCAAGGCUUCGACGGGUAGCUGGUCUGAGAGGACGAUCAGCCACACUGGCACUGCGACACGGGCCAGACUCCUACGGGAGGCAGCAGUAAGGAAUAUUGCGCAAGUGGGACGAAAGCCUGACGCAGCGACGCCGC
This 382-nucleotide ribosomal RNA is filed under the name uncultured bacterium. RNAcentral describes it as "bacterial SSU rRNA". It matches the Rfam family "Bacterial small subunit ribosomal RNA", at positions 29 to 400 of the family's 1533-position model. The record is from RNAcentral.